RNAcentral lists this long non-coding RNA (386 nucleotides) under Danio rerio (zebrafish). Its description in RNAcentral is "si:ch73-36j8.3 (ENSDARG00000097495.2)". The record is from RNAcentral. Lineage: Eukaryota; Metazoa; Chordata; Actinopteri; Cypriniformes; Danionidae.
AUGAUGACUUCAUAGUAAUGUGGAGUGAAAAGUUAUUUUAUAGUAAUUUCUGUAAAGGCUAUCGUAGCAUAUUUAGGUGCUGCAAGAAUCCACUUGGAAUUGCUCUGCUUAUCAGGGUUUCCAUGCUUCUUGAAAGUACUUGAGUAUCAGACAUAUGGAGUCAGUGUCUGGAAAGUACUUAAAAACAAACAAAGGUCCUUGACGGUGCUUAAGUAAAAUUUCAAACCAAAUUUGUUUAUAGUGUUAUUUCAACUUUUGUACUGUGCUGCUGUCAAAAACAGAAUAAAAGUCGGCGCCAAUAGCCUAGUGGUUAGUGCAUCACAUAGCACCGAAGUGCUUGCAUCGACCCGAGUUCGAUUCCCGUCUCGAGCCCCUAAAAAAACCCC